This 480-nucleotide ribosomal RNA is filed under the name Triticum aestivum (bread wheat). RNAcentral describes it as "partial small subunit ribosomal RNA". Lineage: Eukaryota; Viridiplantae; Streptophyta; Magnoliopsida; Poales; Poaceae. The record is from RNAcentral.
AUGGCCUCCACAAACAGCUGGACCCACGAGAUCGAGUCGUUGGUCGCGGCACCGCGCUUGUUCCGUGCCGGCGUCAUGGACUGGCACACUCUGGCACCCAAGCUCGCACCCCACAUCGUCGCCAGCGCCCACCCCGUUGAGGGCGAAGGCGGCAUCGGCAGCGUCAGGCAGUUCAACUUCACCUCAGCCAUGCCCUUUACCCUCAUGGAGAGGCUCGAGUUCCUGGACGAGGAGAAGUGCGAGUGCAAGUCGACCCUCAUCGAGGGCGGUGGCAUCGGCACGGCCAUCGAGACUGCAACGUCGCGCAUCAAGGUGGAGCCGGCGGUCAACGGAGGGAGCUUGGUGAAGGUGAACUCGACGUACAAGCUGCUGCCAGGCGUGGAGGUGAAUGACGAAAUAACCAAGGCCAAGGAAUCAGUCACUGCCAUCUUUAAGGCCGCUGAGGCCUACCUCAUCGCCAACCCCGAUGCCUACAACUGA